RNAcentral lists this ribosomal RNA (399 nucleotides) under uncultured bacterium. RNAcentral describes it as "bacterial SSU rRNA". It matches the Rfam family "Bacterial small subunit ribosomal RNA", at positions 358 to 774 of the family's 1533-position model. The record is from RNAcentral.
GGAAUAUUGCACAAUGGGCGAAAGCCUGAUGCAGCAACGCCGCGUGAGUGAUGAAGGUCUUCGGAUUGUAAAGCUCUGUCUUUUGGGACGAUAAUGACGGUACCAAAGGAGGAAGCCACGGCUAACUACGUGCCAGCAGCCGCGGUAAUACGUAGGUGGCGAGCGUUGUCCGGAUUUACUGGGCGUAAAGGGUGCGUAGGCGGAUGUUUAAGUGAGAUGUGAAAUACCCGGGCUUAACUUGGGUGCUGCAUUUCAAACUGGAUAUCUAGAGUGCAGGAGAGGAGAAUGGAAUUCCUAGUGUAGCGGUGAAAUGCGUAGAGAGUAGGAAGAACACCAGUGGCGAAGGCGGCCCCCUGGACAAAGACUGACGCUCAGGUGCGAAAGCGUGGGGAGCAAACA